Molecule: ribosomal RNA, 377 nt
Filed under: uncultured eukaryote
Lineage: Eukaryota
Description: partial 18S ribosomal RNA
Rfam family: Eukaryotic small subunit ribosomal RNA
Source: RNAcentral
CAAUAGCGUAUAUUUAAGUUGCUGCAGUUAAAAAGCUUGUAGUUGGAUUUCGGGUGGGAAUGGCCGGUCCGCCGUUUCGGUGUGCACUUGCUACGCCCACCUUGCUGCCGGGGACGUGCUCUUGAGUUCACGCUCGGGACACGGAGUCGGCGAGGUUACUUUGAGUAAAUUAGAGUGUUCAAAGCAGGCCUACGCUCUGAAUACAUUAGCAUGGAAUAACACGAUAGGACUCUGGCCUAUCUUGUUGGUCUGUAGGACCGGAGUAAUGAUUAAGAGGGACAGUCGGGGGCAUUCGUAUUUCAUUGUCAGAGGUGAAAUUCUUGGAUUUAUGAAAGACGAACUACUGCGAAAGCAUUUGCCAAGGAUGUUUUCAUUAA